Long non-coding RNA from Salmo salar (Atlantic salmon), 1800 nucleotides. RefSeq lists it as uncharacterized. The record is from RefSeq and is a predicted model, not a curated record. Lineage: Eukaryota; Metazoa; Chordata; Actinopteri; Salmoniformes; Salmonidae.
AAAUCAACCUGCCUCUAGCAAUUUACCCUGAAAAUGAGUUGGCAACACUGCAUAUCAGACCACAUUUAUCCGACGUGAAUAACCUUUUAAUGGGCCUUUCAUGCCAAAAUGUGUUCCCCCCUGCGUCACAAUGGGAUUCGAUGAGUUCUAGCUUCUGUUGCUAGGAGUGUUGCUAGAAUUUGCAAAAGACACUGACCGGAUUAUGUCAUUAACCAAAGCGUCCGUUGCUAUGCUGGUUGGCUCUAUUUUUACUCGUAGCGGUCACGAAGGAAGGAGUACGCGGGCAGUUCUAGUUCACUUCAUAAACACUCGCUCAGUCCGCGCAAAAUUAAUACCUCAGAAUUGCUCUCCAAGGACGGUGUUUUUGACGGCGACAACCUGUCUACCUGCUGCUUCAGAGGACCGAAAAGACUGGAAAUAGAACACUUUCUUUACCAUAUAUUUGUCUUUAAAUAAGAAAAUAUUGUUAAAUAGGAAUAAAUAAUUUAAGCUGUUUUUAGAUUGACGUUGCUAGCUGCUGUACUUAUUUACCUCAGCCUGCCUAGUCAGCUAGCCAACUACAGUAACUGUUAUUGUAGCUUUCUGUAUGUAGCUUGCACUUCAAUGGCAUCCCUCGAGGACAGUUUAAUGUAUCUUUCCAACCAGGUUAAGUACUAUGACUGCAUCACUGAUCUCGACAAGAGGCGGACCAUUCAGAUAAAUUCAAAAUGCAGGGCAAUCAUAUGUACCUACGGGAGAAGGAUGGCCAGCCACACAGGAGGGUGAUUUUUACUAAGGAGGAGGAUGCAUGCAGGCCAUUUCGGAGUGAAGCGUAUGAUUGCCAAAAUCAACCAACGCUUCUUCCAACGGAGAAUUGUCAAGGAGGUCAUUACCCUAUCUAGCCUGCCAGAAGUUUGAGAGGGUGAAGACUGGCGCCGGAGUUGAAGCCCAUCAAAAUUGUUUCACCAUGGCACAUGAUCGAUUGUCAAUAGAUAUUGCUUUCCUACCCCCUCCAAGUUUGGUGAAUGGACCAACCAGACCCUCAAGACUGCCACGGGCAAGUCCCAUGAUUGGUACCAGGAAGGGUGGGCAAACAACCUGAAGGUAAUUCUCUACGGACAGGAGCCGCAGCUGUUGACUGAGAUCACUGAAACCCCAGCUGAUGUGGUGGAAGUUGUCAAAUCAGAUUAGAACGACUUCGAGGACCACCUUCAGGCACGGACUGAGAAGCAUGUGGAGGUUUUUGACCAGUCAAGGUGGACUGAACAUCAACAAGGUGCAGGAGAAACAGAAGGAGAGGUACCAGAACAGGAGCAAGUGCUACGACAUCCAAUCAAAUUACUUGGUUUGGAAGAAGAACGAAAGGAAGGAGAGACCUGGGAACCUCGCUGUUCUUUCACUCCUAGCUGGGGUCACCAUCUGUUAAAGUGAAUAUAAAAAAUCUCAGAUAAUAACUAUUUGCUUUGCACACAAAAUAACCUGAAGCUAGUUUUAGUUUCCCUAACACUGAUAUUUUUCUGGCUCUAUCAUACUGGGCACGUAAUAUGAGAUAGAAAGAUUAACUAAAAAUACUAGCACUGCAAACACUCAGAACAAAGUGAGCAGCAGUACCCAGACUUUGCCGUCUCCCUCUUCAAUUCCCCCUUCCAAGACUGGCUGCCUGUUGAGAAGUGACCGGCAGAACCUCCCACCCACACAGCAACCACCUCCUCUAUAUUCCACACUCCAGAAUUCAGUAUUUUAGUCUAUGAUUGCCAUGUGAAUGUACAAAAAAAAUCUGAAAAUAAAUUAAUGACACAACUGUACCAAAAAAAUAUAAAA